Molecule: RNA transcript, 7559 nt
Organism: Strigops habroptila (Kakapo)
Lineage: Eukaryota; Metazoa; Chordata; Aves; Psittaciformes; Psittacidae
Gene: CERKL
Gene name: ceramide kinase like
Exons: 12
Source: RefSeq, a predicted model, not a curated record
GGCGCUGCCUUGGCAGCCGCCGGACGCGGUGAGCGGCCGGUGUGGCGGGGCUGUGGUGGUGCCGCCAUGCUGGGCGCCACGGCCCCCUUCCGCCGUCCGCAGCGACGGGCCGGGCCCGAGCGCCCGCCCGGUGGCUGCCGCCCGCCGCGGGAGCAGCGUGCGCAAGGGGCGGCCGUCGGCGCCGCUCGCUCCUCAGCGGCGGCGCCCGAGGAGCGGCGGCGGAGGGUGGCUCCGGCCCCGGCGGCCGAGACGGGAGAGGAGCCGCUCCUCAGGGGCAUCUUCGAGAUCAGCAAGAGGAGCUGCGACGUGGUGCUGAGCGCCCGGCGGCUCCGCUGGAGCCCCAUCCUGCCUGAGAGCCCCACAGGUGAUUCAAAUAUUAACUUGCAGGCUCAGGAGGAGAUUAUAGAAAUGAAAGAUGUAUUUUCAGUAAAACUGAAACGUCGUCGUUUUGUAGGGCAGAAAAAAGGUGGUACUUUGUUGGGUAUCACAAUUUUUAAAUGCUUGAAUAAAGAAGAUAAUAAACUAACAGACUGUGCUAUCCAUUUAAAUAACUUAAGUGAAGAUCAUUGUCAUUCAUGGUUUAGACAUCUAAAGGAUAUUUUGAAUGGCUUUCAAAAUAGACCAAAAUCCUUAAAAGUAUUUGUUAAUCCAAGCAGCCACAAAAGAGAAGCCACUCAUGUCUAUUAUGAACAAGUUGCACCUCUUUUUAGGCUUGCUGACAUCAAAACCGAUGUCACAGUAACUGAAUAUGAAGGACAUGCUCUCUCAGUACUUAAAGAAUGUGAACUCCAGGCAUUUGAUGGGGUAGUUUGUGUCGGUGGAGAUGGAUCUGUCAGUGAAGUCACUCAUGGUCUACUACUUAAAGCCCAGAUGGAUGCUGGCAAAGACACAGACUAUAUACCAGCGCCUGUCAGAGCACCAGUUCCUCUUGGAGUAAUACCAGCAGGUACUACUAAUAUUUUGGCCCAUACUCUCCAUGGUAUUAAGCAUGCAGUGACGGCAACGUUGCAUAUUAUAAUGGGACAUAUUCAACCAGUAGAUGUCUGUACUUUCAGUACGCCAACCAAGCUGUUGCGGUUUGGGUUCUCAGCUAUGUUUGGUUUUGGUGCAAGGACUCUGGCUUUGGCCGAGAAACACCGUUGGAUGCCCUCCAAUCAGCGGAAGGAUUUUGCUUUUAUCAAAACACUGGCAGAUCUCAAGCCAGAGGAAUGUGAAUUAUCAUUUCUACCUCUACAAAUUCCACAGGAAGACUCUCAUGAGAAUGACAAAAAGAAGAGAGAGAAAAUUAAAAAGAAGGGUAGCAAGGAUCAAUGGCACAAAAUUCAGGGUCACUUCCUGAAUGUGAGCAUUAUGGCAAUCCCUUGUCUGUGUUCAAUGGCACCAAGAGGCUUGGCACCUAAUACGAGGUGCCCCUCAUCUUCUGCUUCAGAGCCAGAAGAAAUGAAAUAUGAAUCUUUCUCCUUGUAUGAAGAACUGAAAUUCACACUUGUCAUCUGUUUGUUUUUUUUUAAUUUCCCCUGAACGUGGGAAAUGCUGUUUCUGUGUGGAGGGGUUUUGGGAAACAAACGAGUGUGUAAUCUGGUUGUUGACAUUGACUCAUUUUGCCAUUAGCUCAUUGUGGAGAGCAUACUUUGUGGUGAUCAAAACAGUUAUCCAGGUGAUAAAUAUUUGUACUUGAUGUAUCCAGUUGACCAUUAAACAGAAUAGCAAGUAUAAACUUUGAAGUUAUACAUGAAAUAUAACAUGCUCUCUCAAAAAAGAAUGCAGAAACUCAUAUUUUUAUAUAUGUGCUUGUUUAUCUAUUAAAAAACAAAACCCCACAACACUUGGGCAAGUUGCUGGAAUGAGUCUGAUGUGUUUCAUUUAAUCAUCAUCAGGUGAAAAUAGAUGUGCCUUAAAAGUGUUCCGGUAUUUUUCUUCACAAUUACUGGCUGAUCUGGUGGAAACAAUGUAGAAACAAGAGGUUCUGAUGAAAGUCCUAUUGAGAAGUUUUCUUUGCUACAGGUGUCUUGCUAAGCCUCAUUUACCUCAAGACAGUACCCUCAUGCUGUCCCCUCCUAGUAACUUUCUUUGUUCAGCAUUUCGUAUGUUACCAGUCAGUAGAAACUGAUGAGAAACUGGUUCUUUUUCUUGUUAAACCCAACAGUUUCACCUGCUCUAGGUGGCUCUGCCUUGGCAGGGGGGGUUGGACUGUAUGAUCUCCAGAGGUCCCUUCAAACCCUAACGAUUCUGUGAUUCUGUGAAACUAUUCUUUUUUAGCUUUGCUUUCUCUUUCCGUCUGUUCUGGCACCUGUUUCUCAGUGACAGGGAAUUUUAUGACAACUCCAUGCAGUUAUUGCAGGAUUGAAUGAGCCUGUUUCUCCCACAGUGUAGUUGCUCAGUGGAUCCCCCUUUUUUUUUGCUCUCAGUGGAUCCUUUUUCCCCUCUCUUUAAAAAAACCAAAAAGGUUAGGAGUGCAGUCAGCUAGUAAGGCAGAAAAAGUAGACUCUUCAGACUUGAUGCUUCACUUCUCAUAGUGAAUAGCAUCUUGAAUGUUGCACUAAUUGUUAGAGUCUCAAGACCCAUUAUGGAAGCAUCAGCUAAACUCGGCUAGGUUUCUCCACUCUGUCCUAUUUUCUCCAAGAAGUUUUUGCUGUGUGAAGACAUUUGAAGUGGAAUGAAAGCUUUGACUGCUGCCCGUAUCUCUAGUUGCACUCGUCUAAAUUUGCAGAAACAUGUCAAGAUAUGUUUAACUGUCUGCACUAUGUGAGCCAUGUGAGACAUUCGUUUCUUACAGCAUAGGUGGUGUGCUUUGCUGCAGGUUGGGCUUUCAAAAGAAUUAAUGACAAUUUUUAGUUGCCUCUGAAGAGAAAAGGCUGUAGUGCCAAAAUGCAUUGCCCAGUAGCCUCCUGUGCCCCUCUAUUGCAGCAAAUAUGAUAAGGAGGCAACUUCUUCAAUUUCACAAUCACUGUUUCCUAAAUCAGCAAAGUAAUGCUGUGCCAGGUGACUUAUUCCAUGGUUAUGUAAAAAUUAUCUUUCUGGAUUGUGCUGUGUCAUAGUCUGAGAACAUUCCUGAUGCAGUUGUUCAACGGGGAGAGGUCUGUGGUGGUAGGCUGGCAGCAUUAUUUUUUAAAAUAUUCUUAACAUAUUUUCCAAGCAUACAUGCUGAAUUAAUAAAUAAAUAUAUAUGUAUGAUGUGUAUUCAGAAGAUAUGAAAUACAUAAUCUCUUUACAGAACACAAUCUCAGCUGUGAUUGUCGUGUUCAUCAGAUAGUCUUGUUGAACAUUGAUUUGUCUCUAUAAAUUAAAUGGGACUUAGGCAUCAUUGCAUUGAGAUUCAGGUUGUUAUCUUCUGAGACAAGUUACACUUGCAUUAAGGAAUAUAUGAAUUCUUACUAGCUCAUUGCCUAACCCAGAUUCUCAAAGGUGCUAAAAUUUUAAUGGUGACUGAAUGCCUAGGACCACUGAGCCUGCACUGUGGGGUCUCCUCUUGGUUAAACUCUAGUAUAUGACUGUUUCAUCUUGUACAAAAUUCCUUUAGUUUUUAACUUUUAUGGUCUUUGUGAAAUGUGUAAGUAGAACUGUACUGACAACUGCUAAGAGAGUUUGAAUAGCGGCAUAGCUGAAGAUCCGGAUCUUUGUUAGGGCAGCAUGAGACUUAAUGGAAGAGGUGAAUGAAGCCAUUUGCAGUGGGCUGUAUGAUUGGGAUGGGCUUGCAUGCAUCAUGGCAAUGGCUUUAUGGUAGAGCUCUGUCUCACAGCAUUUAUGGUAAUUAUUCUACUUUGCUGGAGAAAAGUGAAAAGAUAGAUUUGUGAUCCUCAAUGUUUAAAACUACCUGUUAAGGAGAAAAUAAGGGAUGGUAAAUUAUAUGUAUUAGGUUCAAUAAAUUACACAUAUUGAUAAGGGAGUACAUUUUUAUUAUUACAGUGUAUGCUAUAAAUAUACGGAUACUAUAUAAUGUCAAUUGCAUAGUUUAUAUUGAUCUAGAGGGGGUGGCAAAAGAUAUGAAAAACAUUGAGACUAGUCUAUUAAUUAACCUGUUAAACUUCCAAAUUAAUGAAUUUUCUUUUGGGACAUAAAUUGGUUCGCUUUUCAGGUUGAAUAAUGGAAGCAUGGCUCUCAUUGUUGUACAAAAUACUUCUCGAACAGAGUUUAUAAAACAUCUCAAAAGAUAUGCCAGCGUAAAAAAUCAGGUACUGUUAUUUUAUUUCUGGGGAUUAUAAAAAGAACAGUUAAUCGUGAAGAUAGACAUGCUGCAAGAGUUAAUGUUAGCAUCCUCAUAAGGAGACUUAGCUUCCUGUCAGAAUACAUUAGCCCCCUUUUUAUCUGUGUGGUUUUUUUGUUGGAUUUUUUUUUUCUUUUUAAAUCACUGGACUAAUACCGAUUAGCCUAUUUCAGCCCAUCUGUUGUGGUUUAAAUUGUAUUUACGUUGUACCAUAGUUUUAUGGGUGUAAAGCCCUUUCACAACAAUAAAAGAAAUGCAUGCUGUGUUUAAGUUUUGGGUAGUACAGAGAUCAAGAAUGCAGGUUGAGGGAGGCAUCAUGCAACUCUUCAUCAGAAAUAGGUAAAGUUCGUAAUUUCAGUAGAUCACUGCAUGCUAUGCUGGUAGCAGUGGGUUAUGACCAUUGAUUUUUAGCAGUAGGCAUUCCAUUCAGUUAUGAAUGUUUGCAUAAACUGCAUUUCAAAAUUGUGAUUGUUAUUCUGUCUUUGAAGAGAAAAAGGAAGUAUCCAAACACAGUACCAAGUUGCUGUCCUUCAGACCUGGUGUAUAGCCUAAGCACACUAGUACUUGUUCAGAUGUUUCAGGACUAUGCAAAAUCCCUUUUACAAGCUGGAGUUAAGUGUUCCCAUUUACUUAAGACAUAAAGAAAGAGUUAUGUUUGAAUUCAUCAACAGUCAGAGAGUUUGGGGAAGAGGUGGAUGGCAAUUCCAUGUGACAGCACUAAUAGCUGCAUUUAGGAAAUAAUUUUAUGCUUUCUGGUUAUGCUUUUGGAGGAAGGAUUUCCUUUUCUCUUUGCCUUUGUAAUUAGAAAUUAGCUAAGGAGAUGUGGAUUCUCCUUUAAACUGAACAUAACCGUUUACUAGAAUUCUAACUAGCCUUGUUUAAGGCAGGAAUACUGGUAGUGGUGGACAGAGCACAGGAAAAGAUCCACUUGGGCUUUCACAUCUUCUGAAAGCAUGUGCUAUUUUACUGUGUGCAAAAUGUACCACCUCACCUAUAGAUUGAGCACAUCCAAUAUGGGAAUGCAAAUGGAACACUACCAUUUUUUUCUGAGGCAUUAUUUAGGAUAAAAAUAGCAUGUUAAUCUAUAAAUGCUAGCUGGAAUACAUAAUGCCUCGUGAUCAAAGCUGGAGUUAAGUGUUUCCAUUUACUUAAGACCAAAAAGAAGAAAAGGCAAGCUUUCUAAUUUCAAGUAAUCCAGUUUGUUGCUAAGAUACCACCUGUAUCUUUCAUCUUCAUUUAAUAUGUAUCUGUGUUUGGUUUAGUUCAAUUUUCCCUUUGUUGAGACCUACACAGUUCAAGAAGUAAAAGUACAACCACAGCUUAAAAGUGGGCUUGAUGCCAAAGAAAAUACGUAUUUGAAUGCUGCUUCUGCAGAAGAAAAUUACCCUUGGAAUAUAGAUGGAGACUUAAUGAAAGCAGCAUCACAAAUUCAUGUUCGGGUGCAUCCUCAACUUAUUAAUCUCUAUGGAGUCAACACUGAUGACCUGGAGAGUUCCCAAGCAACAUGCAAUUGCAUAUAGAAAGGACACACUGCAAGUUCUGUAUUAAAGCAUCCUUUUCACACCUCUAUGCACAGCUUUACAAGGUCCCAGUCUUUCACUCACUGAAUUCAGUUUUUGUAGCAGAAGCUUAACUGAGAUGUUUGUAAUAUUUCUGGUUUUAAAUUUUUAUCAAGUUACAUAUUUUUAUCAGGUUGUAUCUAUCUGUAAAGGUUUAACAAGAAAAAAUGAAAACUGAUUAUAUUGGUCUCUUCUAAAACUUGGGGUUUGAGAAGUGUCCAUUAGAAUAAAGUAGAUUUUUUUUUUUCCCUUAAAAUUAUUUUAGAUUUUGUAAUAAAUUUAGUAUGAGAUACUUUCAAGUCUUCUGCUGCUAUCCAUGUUGUCAGGUAACUCAGUUCAAAUAGAGCUGGGGAGUGGAUGUAUGGUACCAGCUCAUGCUGAAGAAUGGUGGCAAAAUACAAUUUGUUCAUAUUUUUAAAUCAAGUCCUUCCGUUUCUAGUUAUAAUUUUUAACAUUGCCUUAAUGUAUUUGCUUCCAAAUAGUUUCUAGUCAAACAGUAAUACAAAAGAAUACGCUGAUGUCUUAUAUGGCUUUUCGCUUGUUGAAAUGUAUUUUAAAGACCACUGUUUGUACAAACUAAAUAUUUAAAAGUAUUUUAUCUUCCCUAGAACCAAAAUGAUAUUCAGCAUAGGUUGUUUUUUUUUGCUGCUGAGAAUAAAGCUAUGAUAAAUAACUUAGAGUUGACUUAAAUUUUUAUAAUUUCUUUAUAGGGCAUAAACAAUUUUUAUGGGGGGUUUGUAACUUAUUUAAUAUUUGAUACAACUAUUAGAGAUGCCAGCAAAUUCAGAUUAUAUUCUUUCUGGGAAGUGGAUUUCUCUAAGUUGGCAAAGUAGCAGAUGAACAAGUUUGUCCGUCUGCUGGAUCAGUGGGAUAACGUUUUCCUGCUCGCUUGUCUAUGAAUUGUUCAGAAGGUGGCUGAUAAAUAAUGGUAUGAAAGCUGCAUUGUCUUGUGGCAAGAAUGAGUUCCUUUAAGUUCGUUUUUCAGUCAGCAGUUGACUAUAAUGUGAAAUCCAGUCCUUUAAGAUUCUGUUAAAUCAAGGGCCUAAGCCCUUACAUGGGAUCUACAGCUACUCUAUUUUAUUUGAUUUCAAAUACUACUUGUGAAAAAUUCUUACCUGUGAUAGAUAUGUAAGACAAAGUAGUGCACCUAAAGUACUGCAGAUGGUCUUGUGCCUCCCAUGAACAAACUAUUAUUUGUUGGAAAUCUCAUGCCAUUUCUGUGGACAAACCUGGCCAAUAGUAAGAGCCAAAUUCAUAUACAAUCAAAUGCCUGCUUCGUAGGUAAUUAAUUAUCACAGGAUUCUUAUAGCUAGUUCUGCUCUUUGUAUGGAAGUUAGCAGCUGCAGAGUAGGAUCAAGAGUCAUGAUAUCCUUUGGGUUGGACCUGGCCCCAGCAGGACUCUAGCCCAACCUCCUACUCAGGGCAGGUCCAGCUAUGAGAUCAGAUCUGGUUACAGAGCUUUGUCAUGUCUGGCAAUGAAACCUCCAAGGAGGGAAGUGACAGCUUGUCUGCUCCCCUGUUCUGAUGCCUGUCUGUUCUGGGGAGGAAAGUGUUUUUCCUCAUGUCCAGCUGGAACCUCUCAUUUCAGUUUACACCAGUUGUCUGAGUCACAGUGAGUACUCGCCUGUUAAACUACUAUAAUUAAUACUAUAGUACAUCAAAUAUUUUUAACAUGUUAAGAUAAUUUAAACUUCCAAAAGUUGCCCAAGAAAGAGAUUCCAGCUACGUUUAGUAGAUUUAACUGUUAUUACAUAACUGAAAAAUCAACAAUUGAACUUCCAGAAGAAACAGCAUUC